CUUAUACACAAAUGUUCAUAACAGCAUUAUUCAUAAUAGGCAGAGUGUGGAAAGAAACAAAUGUCUCUCCACUGGUGAACGGACACAUCCAUGUGGUGUGUCUGUCCUUACGGCGAAAUAUUAUUUAGCAGUCAAGAGGAAUGAAGUACUGAUUCAGUUAUAACAUGAAUGAACUCGAAACUUUAUGCUGUGUGAAGAAAGCCAGACAGAAAAGGCCACAUAUUACGUGGUUCCAUUUUUUUUUUUUUCAUGGCACGCCCAGAAUAGGCAAAUCUAUAGAGACAGAAAGCAGAUCAGCGGUUGUCUAGGGUUGGGGGGUGGCAAGGAGGAAAUGAAGAAUGACUGCUGAUGGAUGUGGGGUUUCUUUUUGAUCGACACAAAUGCUCCAAAAUUGAUGGUGGCGAUGGUUAUACAACUCUGCCAGCACACUAAAAACCCGUGAAUUGUGCGCUUGGAACGAGGUGUCUGUGUGUGAAUUACAUCUCCAUAAAGCUGUUAUAAAGACCAUUUGGAGGGUGAUGGCAUGUGAUCUUCAUGGCGUAAGCGUUAGCUCUGAUGAUGAUGGGGGCAGUGGGGUGGUGGUGGUUGCCCGUAACUGUUCGAAACACGCGGCGUGUCUUACUGUGAAGCAUUCUGUUGUAUAGGAUCUCCUCUAUCGAAGAUCUAGGUCACUAGUGGAUUAUGAAAAUGCUAACAAAGCACUGGAUAAAGCAAGAGCGAAAAACAAAGAUGUUCUUCAGGCCGAGACAUCCCAACAAUUAUGUUGUCAGAAAUUUGAAAAAAUAUCUGAAUCUGCAAAACAAGAACUUAUAGAUUUUAAGACGAGAAGAGUUGCCGCAUUCAGAAAAAAUUUAGUGGAACUGGCAGAGUUAGAACUGAAGCAUGCAAAGGGUAACCUACAGUUGCUGCAGAACUGCUUGGCAGUGUUAAAUGGAGACACAUAAGCCACACUCCGCCUUUGGUUAAAAAGGGCUGCCUUCCUUCAGAUUUUAUUUUUGUUUUCUUAAUGAGAUUAGGCAUUUACUGCUCACUGGAAACAAAAGAAACAGCUGACCAAGUGCAUCUACUCUCCUUUUUUUCUGAGAAGCGAUGGAGCGGUGCCGUCCACGGGUUUUGCGGGUCCGUCCGUCUGUGUGGUGGAACGCUGCCCUCCUGCAGCUCCCCGUGUGCUCCCUGGGACGGUUGUCCAUCGCCGUGCGCUCCUCCUCUUCCGAAGCCCAGCGUUCAGUCCUUUUUUAAGUAGCCUCUGUAACUGUCUUUAUUUUCUGAAUAGCGUUCCUUAUGGCUGCCAAUCUUAUUUCCCUUUAAGUAAUUUCUGAUGUUUAACCCUUUCAGAGAUGCAUUGUUCAGACAAGAUAAAGGUUGCCAUUACCUUUUGUUUUCUUUUGGUGUUUUUGUUAUGUUUUGUUUUGUUUUUUUAAAAACAUUGUAUGCCACCUUAGUUCAUCCAUGUAUCCUGGUAAAAGCAUCUUAAUCAGACUUAUUUUUAAUUAAUGAACAUUUCCUAGAAGUUUUGGGACAGACUUUAUGUAAUCUUUGUAAGUAUGAUUUCUGAUGAAAAGCGGCUGCAUUAGUAUGUUUGCCUUAAACUUGUAGACUAAACCGACUAUUGUCAAAUAAACCGUGGUAACAGUGA
This is a long non-coding RNA of Leopardus geoffroyi (Geoffroy's cat), 1636 nucleotides long. RefSeq lists it as uncharacterized. Lineage: Eukaryota; Metazoa; Chordata; Mammalia; Carnivora; Felidae. The transcript has 3 exons. The record is from RefSeq and is a predicted model, not a curated record.